This is a non-coding RNA of Cyanistes caeruleus (blue tit), 1966 nucleotides long. Lineage: Eukaryota; Metazoa; Chordata; Aves; Passeriformes; Paridae. The record is from RefSeq and is a predicted model, not a curated record.
GUCACUGGGUGUCACUGGGGUGUCACUUUGGGGCUGCAGCUGUGCAGGGCUCCCAGCCGAGGUCAUUCCUGCCAGCCUUACACCACUUCAGUACUGAGAAGCGAUUUUUGUCUGUGUGACCAGAAGAGAGCUAAUGCAGAGAAUUACCUGGCCCUGCUUUCAUGGUGGAUUCAAAUUGCUUUGAAGCUUUUCUUUCUGCAUCAAGUCAUGACUUGCCAGAGGCUUUGCAAGAAGAUUUGGCAUGCUGGAGAGUUAGAACCCUGUGACUUUACAACGUGAUGUCAGCCAUAAAGGAUUAUGACAUCAUUAAACAGAGAUGUAACAGAAUGAGGCAGGAAGGGACCUCAGCCUUCCCUGGAAGGGUUUGGAUGUGGUACCAAAGGCAGAGCACGUGGGAGCGCAUCUGGAUCACAUCUCAGCAUCAUCUCCUGCAGCCUGCCAGGGCACAGCAGGGAAACACUGCCUGGAGAGGGCUGGAAUCAGCCUUGCAGCCUGCCAGGGCACAGGAGGGAAAUGCCUGGAGAGGGCUGGAAUCAGCCUUGCAGACAGCUGGCAGUGCUCCCUGCCCAGCUGAGUGCUGCCUGGUGGCAGGGCUCAUCCCUGCCCGUUCCUGGCUCUCUUCUCCUGCCUGGCUGCAGGUGGAACAGAGCCCCAGAGUGAGUGGGGAGCCACAGCACUGAUGUCCUGUUUGAAGGAGGAAGCAGAGGGAAAGCUUCUUAUGUGUGUAUCCAGCCCUGGGUUCUUUUCUUCUUAAUUGAGCUGCUCUUGGAGAAGUUCUGAAUUUAUGACAGGGUAAAAUUCCUUGUUAUGAGGAAACCUGGAGACUUGAAAACAUAUAAAAGGAAAUUCAGUGUUGUGAUGUGGGAAACAUUCCUCAGCUCCUUGCAGUAACAACAUGUCAAUAUAUUUUUGUUGGCUUGACAAUAUGAAGGAAAUGUCUUUGAUUUUCUAAAAUUGCAUGUAAUUUCUCAACAUUUCUUUUGAUUCUAUUGAUUAAAGCUGUUCUGCCUGCCUAGAGACAUUAAAUAGCAAACCAUCUGCUAAAAGUGGAUUGGCAACAUGCCUGAAAAUUACCAUUUAAAAAAAAAAAGUUUAGCCUAAAUAUAUUUCAAAGACUGUUUCUAUUUGUGUUCUGAGAUGAAGGGGGAAGACAAAAGCUUCUGUUAUGGUCUGGCAAAAGGUUGCAAUAGCUGGUGAAAGAGCAGUUUUGUGUUGCCCCUGUGGGGAGAGAGGUGUUGUCUGUGGCAGGACACUCGUGGUGUGUGUUCAGCACCUGGGUCCCUUUGGCAGGGACAGGGAUGGGCAGCAGCCAGCCCAGAGCAUCCCCUGGGUGUGCAGAGCUGCCCUGCCUGCAGGCACUUGUUCCAGGGGCCAAGGGUGGCUUACACAGGAAUCCCUGAGCCCCAAGGGCUGCUGGAACACUGAGCUGGUAAAUACUAAACUGGGGUGACUGUGGAGAGUGGGGUUUUUGGGGUUUUUUUUUUGGUUAUGCUUAGUUCUACUCACCAGUGACUUUCUGCUUGCUGUUUUUCACAAAGACCUUCGUGUGAGCAGCUUUUGGGCUGUCAGUGGCUGUCCUGAAGCUGGAGCAGAAUGCUUCCAGGAACAAGAGCUCUCAGAAUGUUGAAGUGUUGGGUCAGCCACAGGGAAUGUUUCUUGGCAGGUUAAGGCAAAAACCUUGUGCAUUUUUUGUGUCUGUUUUUGCCAGGUAAGAAUGCCAUGUACCUUCUAUAAGAAAUGUGUUUCUCUGUCUUAGGGGAAGAAGGAACAGAGAGAAAGAGUUAUUCAGUGCUCUGUGUGAUGGCACAGAUUCAGUGGAAGAUAGUUCUGGGUAUUUGCUUCUUCAGCAACCGGAUUAUUAUUUCUGACCAUCCAGUUAAAACCAACUUCUAAGUAGUAAAGUAACCUCUGAAGGCACUCACACCCUUUCUGUUACUGAAAUAAAGAUAAAAGGGUUUUAUUUGAA